This 5010-nucleotide long non-coding RNA is filed under the name Sus scrofa (pig). Its description in RNAcentral is "lncRNA (ENSSSCG00040037180.1)". Lineage: Eukaryota; Metazoa; Chordata; Mammalia; Artiodactyla; Suidae. The record is from RNAcentral.
AGGGCCACAUCUGUGGCAUAUGGAGAUUCCCAGGCUAGGGGUCGAAUUGGAGCUGUAGCCACUGGCCUAUACCACAAUGCCAGAUCUGAGCUGCAUCUGUAAUUUAAACCACAGUUCAUGGCAAAGACAGAUCCUUAACCACUGAGUGAGGCCAGGGACUGAACCUGCAUCCUCAUGCAUCCUCAUUUCCGCUGAGCCACGAUGGGAACUCCUAUUGUCUUUUUAAAUGAAACUUUAUCAUUCAUUCAGUUAUAAAGAAAAGCAUAGGUAUCUUAGAAUCCAACACAAUUACUGAUACUCUCUUAGGCAGAUUUGACAGGCUCAUCAAUAGAUAAAAUGAGAACUCAGACCUCAAUGGGCAUUCCCAAAGGUGGGGUAAACAUUGUGCACAGAUGCUAGAGACCACCUAACUGCUGAGCUCUGCAAAAGGCAGACUUGGUGUGUGCAAGGGCACAAUAAGCCAAGGAAUGAUUAUGGUGGCAAUGGUCAGAUAGGCAUACAUGCUGACGCAGAGUUCUAAAGUACAGGGUCUCCUCCUAAGAUAAAAUAAGGGACUAAUACAAUCACUUUGCUGUCCUGUGAGCAACUGCACUGUGACCUAGAUAAAUGCACCAGUGACUUUGCUGCUAGUAGCUUUCUGUAAUCUCACGAGGAAGCAACCUUGAAGCUGCCUGUGCCUCUUUCUGCCCACUAACCUAAUUAUGUCAUCUUCUCUAAUAAAAGCUAUGUGGGCUAAAGCCUCGGGGCCUUUGUUCUAAGAAGCAGAGUGCCUCCUGGUCUCCCAAUUUUCUAAAAUGUAGAAGUCUCAUAUGCCGUCCUGUCCCUCUUCAGGAUCUCCGUUGACCUGCAACGCUGGACACAGCACACAGGUGUUAGAAGGACUGCCUGAUAUAGUGUUGACACAGAGCAUUUUUUCUUUUUGGCUUCCUGGAGCUAUCACUUCUGUGCCCCAUGAGGCUGAAAUGGAAAGUGGGCUCUGGGUGAAUUCACAGUCAAACCCCCAAAGAGGACUCUGCAAUUCUUUUAAUUUAUAUGGACAGAAAACAGCAAAGAAACACACUCUCUUAAGUCAGUGUUUGGACAAAGCCACUAAACAUCUAUAGCACCCAGUGCUCAGACAAUCAUGUAGGCCACUGUUGCUUAGGGCUUUCCUUCCAUACAUCAAAGCCCACCACACUGUCUCAAUUCAUCCCCAGACAGGACUGUAAAGUGGGAUGAAAAGUUGGUACCCAUGUUGUCCUGCUGACAAAUAUGACACUGAGAGCAGCAGGCUAACAACACAUAAACUUGGAAUUCUCCUGACUCCCUGUCAGCACUCUUGCCACUGCAUAAAUAAGGAGGCCCCCACAAUGAGAGGGUAAUAAUCCCAGAAUAAGUCCCAGAUACAUACUCAGGAGGAAUCGCCCCAGUGACUUCAUAUAUUGAAAGAGUCUAUACCCCUAUGGAAGAGAUAAAUGAUUGUUUUCCUGUGAACUGUUGAAGAAGUUCCUCUGUUUUCCUCAUGAGAUCAUUGUUGUGAAAGACUUUGAAAAACAUAAAUUAGACCAAAAUAGACACGUCUCCAAAGAAGACUUACAGAGGGUCAACAGGCACAUGAAAAGAUGCUCAACAUCACUAAUUAUUAGAGAAAUGCACAUCAAACUCCAGUGAGGUACCAUCUCACACUGGUCAGAAUGGUCAUCAUUAAAAAGUCUACAAAAUACAAAUGCAGGAAAGGAUGUGGAGAAAAGGGAACAUUCCUGCACUGUUGAUGGGAAUGGAAAUUGGUAAAGCCAUAGAAAAGAGUAUGGCGUUUCCUCAAAAACUAAAAAUAGGGUUGCCACAUGAUCUAGCAAUCCCACUCGUGGGCUUUUCAGAGAAAACUCUAAUUCAAAAAGAUAUAUGCAUCCCUGUAUCCAUAGCAGUUCUAUUCACAAUAGCUGAGUCAUGGAAGCAACCUAACUGUUCAUCACAAGAUGAGCAGAUAAAGGAGAUGUGAUGUGAUGUGUGUGUAUGUGUGUGUACACAAAUAUAUGCAUACAUAACAGAGUACUCCUCAGCCUGAAAAAAAAGAAUGAAAUAAUGCCAUCUGCAGCAACAUGGAUGGACCUAGAGAUUAUCAUACUAAGUGAAGUAAAUUAGAGGAACAUAAAUAUUAUGUGAUAUCACUUAUAUAUGGAAUCUAAAAAAUGACAAAAAUGAACCUCUUUAUGAAACAGAAACAGACUCACAAAGAAAACAAACUUAUGGUUACCAAAAGGGAAAGGGAGGAGGGAUAAAUUAGGAGUUUGGGAUUAACAUGUUCACACUCUUAUAUAUAAAAUAGAAAACCAAUAAGGCCCUACUAUAUAGCACAGGGAACUAUAGUCACUAUCUUGUAAUAAGCCAUAAUGGAAAAGAAUCUGAAAAAGAAUAUAUAUAAGAAUAUAUAUAUGCACAUACACACACAUAUAUAUAUAACUGAAUCACUUUGCUAUACACCUGAAACUAACACAAUUUUGUAAAAAGAAAAAAAAAAACCAAAGUCUUAAGAAUAGCUCAUUAACAGCCUGAUUAACAGGAGUAAACUAUUGCAAAGAAUUUUUUUCAUGUGUAUGCCUUCUUAUUUCAUUGUUCUGCCAAUUUCUGAACCAAAAUAAUUAGUAUUCUUAGCUGGUUCUGGUGGUUUAUCUUUGUAAAAUUCCUCUCAACACACAUUGGCAAAGCUAAGAGUCAUUAAGUUAAUUUUAAAAGUCAGUUUAAGGAGUUCCCAUGGUGGCGCAGUGGAAAUGAAUCCAACUAGGAGUUAUGAGAUUGUGGGUUCAAUCCCUGGACUCUCUCGGUGGGUUAAAUAUCUGGUGUUGCCUUGACCUGUGGUGUGGGUCUCAGAUGCCGCUCAGAUCCUGUGUUGCUGUGGUGCAGGCCAGCAGCAGCAUUUGCAGUUCCAAUCUAACCCCUAGCCUGGGAAUUUCCAUUUGCCACACAUGCAGCCCUAAAAAGCAAAAACAAAAAAACAACAAAAAAAAACAAACACAUACAUUUGCCGGUUAUUGACAUAGAACCAAGGCCUUUUAUUUAAGUAUGAAUCUGCUGAUUGAAAUCCAGAAUCAUCUUUCUUGCAGUAAGCCAUGAGUUCCAGCCUGUACUUUAUUGAAACAGAGUGAAAACCUAGACUCCUACAGUAACCAAUUUGAAUGCAAACCUUUUAGAAAUUUAAGAUCUUUCCUAAUCUUUUAUACUUGUCUUGCCCAUACAUAAUUCAACAGGACUACGUUUUAUUUACCUUUACUGUCUCUCUGAAAUACUCAACUUAGUGUAAUAGAAAAAAUACCCUCUUUGUAUCCAUAUUCAAUAUUAUUAGUUUUAUAACAUUAAAACUAAUCUACACAAAUUAGUAAUUAUUACAGUUUUAUAUAGUAAUUUAUAUAGUUUUAUAUUUAUAACAUUAUAUAAUUACAAAAAUAUAUGCAACUGUCAUAAAUAGGUUUGGGAACCAACAACCCCUUCUUGACAAGAAAAUGAUUCAACGGAAUAUUCAUUCUAAAUCAUGGGCUUGGAAAAUAGACUUGUAGCUGCCUGAUGGGAGAGGGAGUGGGAGGGAUCGGGAGCUUGGGCUUAUCAGAUACAACUUAGAAUAGAUUUACAAGGAGAUCCUGCUGAGUAGCAUUAAGAACUAUGUCUAGACACUCAUGUUGCAACAGAAGAAAGGGUGGGGGAAAAAUGUAUACAUGUAAGGAUAACUUGAUCCCCUUGCUGUACAGUGGGAAAAUAAAAGAAAAAAAAAUUUAAAAAUUAAGAAUAUUCAUUCUAUAUUAUGACUAUAUUUAAAUUCAAUUAAAUGAUCACCUGCCUCCCUUAACCUGAUAAUAAACUUCCUGGGGACAGAGCUCCCUAAGAAACUAACACUCAGUUAACUAACAAGUCAGCCAAAACAUCCAGACUAAUUUUAGUAAAAUGUAUUUAAAAAGUGAAAUCAUCAUUAAAUCAUUCAGGUAGCGAGUCUGACUGCAGAGCCGUAGGUUCCUAUUUCAAGAUCACCUUACACUUCUGUUUUUAAACUACAAAAGAUGUUAUGUUUAAAUAUGCUUUGAAUGUAUGUAAUAAGAAGCUUGGGCUGUCACUGAAAGUAGAGUGAAGCAGAUGCAGGUUAGUAAAUGGUCUGGAAAGCUCACAAGACCACUGCUGAGGGAACCAGCAGAGCAGCGUUUAAUGAGAAGCCACAUCUUUAUUUUUAAAUUAGCAAUUAUGCUCUAAUUGAGGUAAGAGAACAUUGCAACGGAACUGCAGGGAGGCUGGUGAAGAUGGUGGUAACAAUCUCAGGAAGAUUCAUGCAGAACCAUCCACUCAACUGUCCUUCCUCUCUCUACUGUGUCAAGUGAGACAGAGUUCUCAGGAAGGAAGCAGAAACCUUCCAACAGGUGAUCAGGAAUGAAUGAACCACAGAAAGCCCUGACCCUACAGGGACAGCCUCAGAUGGAAAGCAGCUGCCAGCUGUGAGCCCCAGAAAGAUGGGACCUAAAUUCAAGACACAUUCUGAAUGGGUUUGUUUGAUCAAGCCUGAUCCGAAGAAACAUGAGGCAUCUAAAAGCCAUACCAGGCACAGUUUGAUGUUUCUCUAACUUUCUGCUAGCAUUCACAUUUCUUUAAACUUUACAUUUUUUGGAAUAUCAAAUUUUUAAAGUCUAUGUUACUAUCAAUUAUUGACUAUUUAAUUCACAAUCCUCUUUUCAUGGCAAAAAUCUGAGUAGAAAAGUGAACUCUUCUCUAUACAGCAGCUAAAGUUGAGAGCUGACUUUUCAAAGCCCUAACUCAGCCAGAACAAUUACCCAGGCAAAAGAUGAUCCAGAUUCCAGACAAAAUUAUCAAAGCAAACAGCUUCUGGAUUUGCAAGACAAAAACAUCAAAGAACCGUCAUACAGAUCUUUAAGUGACUCAUUAACAUAUUAAGUCCAAUUUACAUAUUUGGAAUUAUCUGACUGGCCACGUGAUAUCAACAUCUAUAACACAGAGGUUCAAUGAGGCUCUUAAGCAAAAGAUGAUGGAAUUUGUAAU